Molecule: small RNA, 616 nt
Filed under: Alicyclobacillus acidocaldarius subsp. acidocaldarius DSM 446
Lineage: Bacteria; Bacillati; Bacillota; Bacilli; Caryophanales; Alicyclobacillaceae
Source: RNAcentral
CGAAACGUCCCUGCGGGUGGCGCAGUAUUCUAGUCAACCGUCCGCGCCUGAAGACGGGGCUAAAAAUCCGUCAAAGGGCACAUCGAUGAAGUUCCUGGUGUGGGCUUGGGGCGCCCAGCCCUGGGCUCAUGCUGGGAGUUAAGAAGGUUGGGCAGCCCGCAAUGGCAUGCGGGACGCGACCCAGCCUUCGCGGAGGCCCAAGUUCGUAGCUGGAACCAUGGUUUUUGCUAUGGCUUGGGGUAUGAACCUGCAUGCGGAGGCAAUCUGUGUGCAGCGUAGCCUGCCUUGAGUGGUACUGAAGGAUCCCAGGAAUUCAGGUGGUCGGCCGCGGCCACGGCGCGACCACCGGUGCUGGGUGAAAUCCGUACUGCAAAAGAGGCUAGGGCGCGGGAGCGGUUGUCGCGGAAAACGCCUAGACUGUUCGCCACGAGGCGAGGCUCCCUGAGGAUUAUAGUGUGGACUAAGUGGUAAUCCAGUCUGGCUGUCGGCGACGCGGCCAACGCGCUCUGAAAGGGAAACCGCCGGGACGGCGACGUCUCGGUGAGCGCUUGGGAAAACCUACUGGACCUAAGCCACAGCGUUUACUCAGGGAGUUGCCACCCGGGCAUCGAUACAU